GAUGAAGAACGUAGCGAAAUGCGAUAAGUAAUGUGAAUUGCAGAAUUCAGUGAAUCAUCGAGUCUUUGAACGCACAUUGCGCCCCCUGGUAUUCCGGGGGGCAUGCCUGUCCGAGCGUCAUUGCUGCCCUCAAGCACGGCUUGUGUGUUGGGCCGUCGUCCCCCUCCUAGGGGACGGGCCCGAAAGGCAGCGGCGGCACCGCGUCCGGUCCACGAGCGUAUGGGGCUUCGUCACCCGCUCCGUAGGCCCGGCCGGCGCUUGCCGACGACCAUCAAUCUCUUUCUCCAGGUUGACCUCGGAUCAGGUAGGGAUACCCGCUGAACUUAAGCAUAUCAAUAAGCGGAGGA
This 347-nucleotide unclassified non-coding RNA is filed under the name soil metagenome. RNAcentral's name for it is "partial contains 5.8S ribosomal RNA, internal transcribed spacer 2, and large subunit ribosomal RNA". The stretch from base 1 to 120 matches the Rfam family "5.8S ribosomal RNA", at positions 35 to 154 of the family's 154-position model. The record is from RNAcentral.